Molecule: ribosomal RNA, 253 nt
Filed under: uncultured bacterium
Lineage: Bacteria
Description: partial 16S ribosomal RNA
Rfam family: Bacterial small subunit ribosomal RNA
Source: RNAcentral
UACAGAGGUCUCAAGCGUUGUUCGGAUUCAUUGGGCGUAAAGGGUGUGUAGGUGGCGCCGUAAGUCGGGUGUGAAAUUUCGGAGCUUAACUCCGAAACUGCAUUCGAUACUGCGGUGCUUGAGGACCGGAGAGGAGACUGGAAUUUACGGUGUAGCGGUGAAAUGCGUAGAUAUCGUAAGGAAGACCAGUGGCGAAGGCGGGUCUCUGGACAGUUCCUGACGCUGAGGCACGAAGGCCAGGGGAGCAAACGGG